RNAcentral lists this transfer RNA (56 nucleotides) under Cosmocomoidea walkerjonesi. RNAcentral's name for it is "partial tRNA-Leu". Lineage: Eukaryota; Metazoa; Arthropoda; Insecta; Hymenoptera; Mymaridae. The record is from RNAcentral.
AAUAUGGCAGAUUAGUGCAUUAAUUUUAAAUAUUAAAAAUAAAUUUUUAAAUUUUA